GUUUCUGGGGGAGAUAAACUGCAGUCGUGCGCCUCCAAGCUAUGGUGGAGACGCGGCAUACGGCUCAGUAACACGUGGCCAACCUACCCUCAGGACAGGGACAAACCCGGGAAACUGGGGCUAAUACCCGAUAGGCGAGGGCGCCUGGAAUGGUUCUUCACCCAAAGGGCUUUGGAAGCAUGCUUUUCAAAGUCGCCUGGGGAUGGGGCCGCGUCCGAUCAGGUUGUUGGUGAGGUAACGGCUCACCAAGCCUAUAACCGGUACGGGCCGUGAGAGCGGUAGCCCGGAGAUGGGCACUGAGACAAGGGCCCAGGCCCUACGGGGCGCAGCAGUCGCGAAAACUCCGCAAUGCACGAAAGUGUGACGGGGCUACCCCGAGUGCCGUCCGCUGAGGAUGGCUUUUCCUCGGUGUAACUAGCCGGGGGAAUAAGGAGAGGGCAAGACUGGUGUCAGCCGCCGCGGUAAUACCAGCUCUCCGAGUGGUAGGGAUGAUUAUUGGGCUUAAAGCGUCCGUAGCCGGCUUAGCAAGUCUCCUGUUAAAUUCAGCGACCUAAUCGUUGAGCCGCGGGAGAUACUACUAGGCUAGGAGGCGGGAGAGGCCGACGGUACUUCCGGGGUAGGGGUGAAAUCCUAUAAUCCCGGGCGGACCACCAGUGGCGAAGGCUGUCGGCUAGAACGCGCUCGACGGUGAGGGACGAAAGCUGGGGGAGCGAACCGGAUUAGAUACCCGGGUAGUCCCAGCUGUAAACUAUGCGGGCUAGGUGUUGGGGCGGCCACGAGCCGCUUCAGUGCCGCACGGAAGCAAUUAAGCCCGCCGCCUGGGAAGUACGGCCGCAAGGCUGAAACUUAAAGGAAUUGGCGGGGGAGCACCACAAGGCGUGAAGCUUGCGGUUUAAUUGGAGUCAACGCCGGG
RNAcentral lists this ribosomal RNA (913 nucleotides) under uncultured archaeon. RNAcentral's name for it is "bacterial SSU rRNA". It matches the Rfam family "Archaeal small subunit ribosomal RNA", at positions 29 to 922 of the family's 1478-position model. The record is from RNAcentral.